UUGAAUAGACAGCAGAAGUAUUUGGGGCUC
This 30-nucleotide non-coding RNA is filed under the name Homo sapiens (human). Lineage: Eukaryota; Metazoa; Chordata; Mammalia; Primates; Hominidae. The record is from RNAcentral.